RNAcentral lists this unclassified non-coding RNA (253 nucleotides) under plant metagenome. Its description in RNAcentral is "partial contains small subunit ribosomal RNA, internal transcribed spacer 1, and 5.8S ribosomal RNA". The record is from RNAcentral.
UUUCCGUAGGUGAACCUGCGGAAGGAUCAUUAAUGAGUUUUGAAUGAAGUUGUUCUGGUCUUUCGGGGCGAGUGAACGCUUCUCUCAAUCCAUCUUACACCUGUGCACCUAUCGGGGAAGACUUGGAUCUAAGUUGGGUCACGACGGCGAUCUACAGUCUCCUCUUUAUACCAAAUAACAGUUUUAGAAAGUCUUUUUUGCGUGAUGCAAACUUAAAUAAAUACAACUUUCAGCAACGGAUCUCUUGGCUCUC